Molecule: ribosomal RNA, 504 nt
Filed under: uncultured bacterium
Lineage: Bacteria
Description: bacterial SSU rRNA
Rfam family: Bacterial small subunit ribosomal RNA
Source: RNAcentral
GACGAACGCUGGCGGCGUGGAUUAGGCAUGCAAGUCGAACGGUAUCAUCCUUUCGGGGGUGAGAGAGUGGCGAACUGGUGAGUAACACGUAGGUUAUCUACCCUCAAGACGGGGACAACCCUGGGAAACUUGGGCUAAUACCGGAUGUGAGCAACUUUUAGUUGUUUGAAAGGUGGCGUAAGCUGUCGCUUGGGGAUGAGCCUGCGUCCUAUUAGUUAGUUGGUGAGGUAACGGCUCACCUAGGCAAUGAUAGGUAGGCGGCCUUAACGGGUGGUCGCCCACACUGGGAUUGAGAUACGGCCCAGACUCCUACGGGAGGCAGCAGUCGAGAAUAGUCUACAAUGGUCGGAAGACUGAUAGUGCGACGCCGCGUGAACGAUGAAUCCCUUCGGGGUGUAAAGUUCUUUUAUAUGUGAGCAGUGCUUCUUAUAUUAACAGUAUGGGGAGAGAGAUAUUAGCAUAUGAAUAAGCAACGGCUAACUCCGUGCCAGCAGCCGCGGUAAA